Molecule: non-coding RNA, 120 nt
Organism: Triticum aestivum (bread wheat)
Lineage: Eukaryota; Viridiplantae; Streptophyta; Magnoliopsida; Poales; Poaceae
Source: Rfam
UAUUUACUCCCUCCGUCCGAGAAAGCUUGUCCCUCAAAUGGAUGUAUCUAGCAGGGUGCUAGAUACAUCCAUUUGAGGGACAAGCGUGGGACAAGUUUUUUCGGACGGAGGGAGUAAUAC